RNAcentral lists this ribosomal RNA (255 nucleotides) under uncultured bacterium. RNAcentral describes it as "partial 16S ribosomal RNA". It matches the Rfam family "Bacterial small subunit ribosomal RNA", at positions 524 to 776 of the family's 1533-position model. The record is from RNAcentral.
UACGGGGGGGGCAAGCGUUGUUCGGAAUUACUGGGCGUAAAGCGCGUGUAGGCGGCUGGUUAGGUGUGAUGUGAAAUCCUCGGGCUCAACCCGAGAACUGCAUUGCAAACCGGCCUGGCUAGAGUGCAGGAGAGGGAAGCGGAAUUCCAGGUGUAGCGGUGAAAUGCGUAGAUAUCGGGAGGAACACCAGUGGCGAAGGCGACUACCUGGCCUGUUUCUUGACGCUGAGGCGCGAAAGCUAGGGGAGCAAACGGG